GGUCGGGUAGCUCCAAUCGGUAGAGCGGUGGCCUGAAGAGCCACGCGAUGGGGGUUCGAGUCCCUCUCCGACCACCA
Molecule: transfer RNA, 77 nt
Filed under: Cohnella herbarum
Lineage: Bacteria; Bacillati; Bacillota; Bacilli; Caryophanales; Paenibacillaceae
Description: Cohnella sp. MFER-1 tRNA-Phe
Rfam family: tRNA
About the family: Transfer RNA (tRNA) molecules are approximately 80 nucleotides in length. Their secondary structure includes four short double-helical elements and three loops (D, anti-codon, and T loops). Further hydrogen bonds mediate the characteristic L-shaped molecular structure. tRNAs have two regions of fundamental functional importance: the anti-codon, which is responsible for specific mRNA codon recognition, and the 3' end, to which the tRNAs corresponding amino acid is attached (by aminoacyl-tRNA synthetases). tRNAs cope with the degeneracy of the genetic code in two manners: having more than one tRNA (with a specific anti-codon) for a particular amino acid; and 'wobble' base-pairing, i.e. permitting non-standard base-pairing at the 3rd anti-codon position.
Source: RNAcentral